Molecule: ribosomal RNA, 776 nt
Filed under: Marinilactibacillus piezotolerans
Lineage: Bacteria; Bacillati; Bacillota; Bacilli; Lactobacillales; Carnobacteriaceae
Description: bacterial SSU rRNA
Rfam family: Bacterial small subunit ribosomal RNA
Source: RNAcentral
AAUUCUCUGCUUGCAGAGAAUGGAUUAGUGGCGAACGGGUGAGUAACACGUGGGUAACCUGCCCAUAAGAGGGGGAUAACAUUCGGAAACGGAUGCUAAUACCGCAUAGGUCCUUGAGACGCCUGUCUCAAGUGAUGAAAGGUGGCUUCGGCUGCCGCUUAUGGAUGGACCCGCGGCGUAUUAGCUAGUUGGUGAGGUAAUGGCUCACCAAGGCUGUGAUACGUAGCCGACCUGAGAGGGUGAUCGGCCACACUGGGACUGAGACACGGCCCAGACUCCUACGGGAGGCAGCAGUAGGGAAUCUUCCACAAUGGGUGAAAACCUGAUGGAGCAAUACCGCGUGAGUGAAGAAGGUCUUCGGAUCGUAAAGCUCUGUUGUUAGAGAAGAACAAGUCGGGUAGUAACUGCCCCGACCUUGACGGUAUCUAACCAGAAAGUCACGGCUAACUACGUGCCAGCAGCCGCGGUAAUACGUAGGUGACAAGCGUUGUCCGGAUUUAUUGGGCGUAAAGCGAGCGCAGGCGGUCUUUUAAGUCUGAUGUGAAAGCCCACGGCUCAACCGUGGAGGGUCAUUGGAAACUGGAAGACUUGAAUGCAGAAGAGGAAAGUGGAAUUCCAUGUGUAGCGGUGAAAUGCGUAGAUAUAUGGAGGAACACCAGUGGCGAAGGCGACUUUCUGGUCUGUAAUUGACGCUGAGGCUCGAAAGCGUGGGGAGCGAACAGGAUUAGAUACCCUGGUAGUCCACGCCGUAAACGAUGAGUGCUAAGUGUUGGAGG